Molecule: transfer RNA, 69 nt
Filed under: Bos taurus (domestic cattle)
Lineage: Eukaryota; Metazoa; Chordata; Mammalia; Artiodactyla; Bovidae
Also listed under: 3 other names
Rfam family: tRNA
About the family: Transfer RNA (tRNA) molecules are approximately 80 nucleotides in length. Their secondary structure includes four short double-helical elements and three loops (D, anti-codon, and T loops).
Source: Rfam by way of RNAcentral
CCUGUGGCUCAGAUGGUAAAGCAUCUGCCUUGCAAUGCAGAAGACCCAGGUUCAAUCCCUGAGUCAGGA